CAGCUCACCAGUGUCACAGCUGGAGCAGUUGGCAGGCCCACGGUCAACACACACGGCGCAGGUGUGGUCACAGAGGUGGCACUGCCCGCCGGCCUGGUACCUCCCAGCUGGGCACCCAGCCACACACUGGCCCUCGUCCAGAAACCUGGCCAAGUUAAAGAGCUGUUUGUAAACAAGUUGCCACACUGUUGGAUUUUCAUGGCCACAGGCAGUGAUGUAGUCUACGUGAUACGCAGGACUACGCAGUAUACCCACCUAAAAAGCAUCAGAUGGAGAGCAGUUGAUGCAAUCGCUGCCGCUGGGCCCUCUACACUUGUGGCAGGUGGCGGCGCAGGCAUGACAGCUUCCCUUCUCAUCCUGGUACUCUCCUGUCCCCCCCACACACAAAGGACACAACAGAGACACAGCACACCACAGUCAUGUUGAAAUAAAGGCAGACACCAGA
Long non-coding RNA from Alosa sapidissima (American shad), 445 nucleotides. RefSeq lists it as uncharacterized. NCBI's taxonomy places the organism in Eukaryota, Metazoa, Chordata, Actinopteri, Clupeiformes, Clupeidae. The transcript has 2 exons. The record is from RefSeq and is a predicted model, not a curated record.